GUAGAAUGAGAAAAAUCGAAAUUACUAUUGCUGUUCUGGUUUUACCCGAAAUUGAGAAGUGCGUCUGUAAUGGGUUAUUUUGGUUGAGAAUUCUUCCGAAAUGGUUGUUGAGGUCUUCUGAUGAAAUGUAGCCCUGUUUCUUAGCUUUCAGAUGGUUUUGGAAUUUCUGGAUUUGGACUUGGAUAACCUGUUUUAUGAUGUUUCCGCUAGAAUGCGUUAUGUGAAUCUAUUUUUAUGAUUCUGGUAUAGUAUCUUGCAUUUUUGACCUGGUUACACUCAAAACUGGGUUGAGUGACCUUCUGGAAUAUUGUAGCCCUGUCUCUUAGCUUCGAAACGGUGGAUCUUGUACCUUCAUCCGACAAUCGUAGCGCCUUUGGUGCCAUUACCGCAAAAUGACGUCAAAAACUAUUUUUCUGGUUUUGAGCUUAACUUUCAUUUCCGGACUUUUCCCUAGCUUGACUUGUACUAGUACUACUUGGAGCUUGCUGAAUGGCUAUUGGAUG
This 503-nucleotide long non-coding RNA is filed under the name Coffea arabica (coffee). Its description in RNAcentral is "long non-coding RNA (CARA_LNC001834)". Lineage: Eukaryota; Viridiplantae; Streptophyta; Magnoliopsida; Gentianales; Rubiaceae. The record is from RNAcentral.